UAGACCGCCUGGGGAGUACGGCCGCAAGGUUAAAACUCAAAUGAAUUGACGGGGGCCCGCACAAGCGGUGGAGCAUGUGGUUUAAUUCGAUGCAACGCGAAGAACCUUACCUGGUCUUGACAUCCACAGAACUUUCCAGAGAUGGAUUGGUGCCUUCGGGAACUGUGAGACAGGUGCUGCAUGGCUGUCGUCAGCUCGUGUUGUGAAAUGUUGGGUUAAGUCCCGCAACGAGCGCAACCCUUAUCCUUUGUUGCCAGCGGUUAGGCCGGGAACUCAAAGGAGACUGCCAGUGAUAAACUGGAGGAAGGUGGGGAUGACGUCAAGUCAUCAUGGCCCUUACGACCAGGGCUACACACGUGCUACAAUGGCGCAUACAAAGAGAAGCGACCUCGCGAGAGCAAGCGGACCUCAUAAAGUGCGUCGUAGUCCGGAUUGGAGUCUGCAACUCGACUCCAUGAAGUCGGAAUCGCUAGUAAUCGUGGAUCAGAAUGCCACGGUGAAUACGUUCCCGGGCCUUGUACACACCGCCCGUCACACCAUGGGAGUGGGUUGCAAAAGAAGUAGGUAGCUUAACCUUCGGGAGGGCGCUUACCACUUUGUGAUUCAUGACUGGGGUGAAGUCGUAACAAGGUAACCGUAGGGGAACCUGCGGUUGGAUCACCUCCUUACCUUAAAGAA
This 678-nucleotide ribosomal RNA is filed under the name Salmonella enterica subsp. enterica serovar Anatum. Its description in RNAcentral is "bacterial SSU rRNA". It matches the Rfam family "Bacterial small subunit ribosomal RNA", at positions 865 to 1533 of the family's 1533-position model. The record is from RNAcentral. Lineage: Bacteria; Pseudomonadati; Pseudomonadota; Gammaproteobacteria; Enterobacterales; Enterobacteriaceae.